This 157-nucleotide unclassified non-coding RNA is filed under the name uncultured fungus. RNAcentral describes it as "sequence contains ITS2". The record is from RNAcentral. Lineage: Eukaryota; Fungi.
AAACCCUCAAGCCUCGCUUGGUAUUAGGCGUCGGGGACUCCCCGCGCCUCCAUUUCGCCGGCUGGCUGUCGUUUGACUUAGCGUUGUGACACAUGUCGCUAACGACGAAGACGGACUGCGCCGUAAGAACUCUCUUGGAUGUCUAACAUCUAGUACA